GGAGGGUGCAAGCGUUAUCCGGAUUCACUGGGUUUAAAGGGUGCGUAGGUGGGUUGGUAAGUCAGUGGUGAAAUCUCCAAGCUUAACUUGGAAACUGCCGUUGAUACUAUCAAUCUUGAAUCUCGUGGAGGUAAGCGGAAUAUGUCAUGUGGCGGUGAAAUGCUUAGAUAUGACAUAGAACACCGAUAGCGAAGGCAGCUUGCUACACGAGUAUUGACACUGAGGCACGAAAGCGUGGGGAUCAAACAGGAUUAGAUACCCUGGUAGUCCACGCCCUAAACGAUGGAUACUCGACAUACGCGAUACACAGUGUGUGUCUGAGCGAAAGCAUUAAGUAUCCCACCUGGGAAGUACGACCGCAAGGUUG
Molecule: ribosomal RNA, 367 nt
Filed under: uncultured bacterium
Lineage: Bacteria
Description: bacterial SSU rRNA
Rfam family: Bacterial small subunit ribosomal RNA
Source: RNAcentral